Molecule: ribosomal RNA, 933 nt
Filed under: uncultured bacterium
Lineage: Bacteria
Description: bacterial SSU rRNA
Rfam family: Bacterial small subunit ribosomal RNA
Source: RNAcentral
AGAGUUUGAUCGUGGCUCAGAGCGAACGCUGGCGGCGUACUUAACACAUGCAAGUCGUACGAGGAUCGUCGGGUUAGCAAUAAUUCGGCGGUUCGAGUGGCGCACGGGUGAGUAACACGUGGGUAACCCACCCUCGAGACCGGGAUACCCUCUCGAAAGGGAGGCUAAUACUGGAUACGUUCCCUGGGGCGCAAGACCUGGGGGGGAAAGGUGGCGAAAGCUGCCGCUCUUGGAGGGGCUCGCGGCCUAUCAGCUAGUUGGUGAGGUAAUGGCUCACCAAGGCUAUGACGGGUAGCUGGUCUGAGAGGACGACCAGCCACACGGGAACUGAGACACGGUCCCGACUCCUACGGGAGGCAGCAGUGGGGAAUUUUCCGCAAUGGGCGAAAGCCUGACGGAGUGACGCCGCGUGGGGGACGAAGGCCUUCGGGUCGUAAACCCCUGUCAGAGGGAAAGAAGGGUGUCGGCGUGAAUAGCGCUGGCAUCUGACGGUACCUUCAGAGGAAGCCCCGGCCAACUCUGUGCCAGCAGCCGCGGUAAGACAGAGGGGGCAAGCGUUGCUCGGAAUCACUGGGCGUAAAGGGCGCGUAGGCGGGAUGGCAAGUCGGUCGUGAAAUCCUUCGGCUCAACCGAAGAACGUCGGCCGAUACUGCCGUUCUUGAGGGAUGCAGAGGAGAUUGGAAUUCCCGGUGUAGCGGUGAAAUGUGUAGAGAUCGGGAGGAACACCGGUGGCGAAGGCGGGUCUCUGGGCAUCUCCUGACGCUGAGGCGCGAAAGCGUGGGGAGCAAACGGGAUUAGAUACCCCGGUAGUCCACGCUGUAAACGAUGACGACUAGGUGUGGGGGGGUUAGUCCCUUCCGUGCCGCAGCUAACGCAUUAAGUCGUCCGCCUGGGGAGUACGGCCGCAAGGUUGAAACUCAAAGGAAUUGACGG